AACGAACGCUGGCGGCAUGCCUAACACAUGCAAGUCGAACGAACCCUUCGGGGUUAGUGGCGCACGGGUGCGUAACGCGUGGGAAUCUGCCCAAAGGUUCGGAAUAACACAGAGAAAUUUGUGCUAAUACCGGAUAAUGUCUUCGGACCAAAGAUUUAUUGCCUUUGGAUGAGCCCGCGUUGGAUUAGCUUGUUGGUGGGGUAACGGCCCACCAAGGCGACGAUCUAUAGCUGGUCUGAGAGGAUGAUCAGCCACACUGGGACUGAGACACGGCCCAGACUCCUACGGGAGGCAGCAGUGAGGAAUAUUGGACAAUGGGGGCAACCCUGAUCCAGCCAUGCCGCGUGAAUGAAGAAGGCCUUAGGGUUGUAAAAUUCUUUCAGAUGCGAAGAUAAUGACGGUACCAUCAGAAGAAGCUCCGGCUAAAUUCGUGCCAGCAGCCGCGGUAAUG
Molecule: ribosomal RNA, 451 nt
Filed under: uncultured bacterium
Lineage: Bacteria
Description: bacterial SSU rRNA
Rfam family: Bacterial small subunit ribosomal RNA
Source: RNAcentral